AUUUACUUAGUUUAAUGAGAACGAGGGUUUGUGGUAUCCUAGGUACAUAAGUAGUAAAUA
This 60-nucleotide transfer RNA is filed under the name Tigriopus californicus. Its description in RNAcentral is "tRNA-His". Lineage: Eukaryota; Metazoa; Arthropoda; Copepoda; Harpacticoida; Harpacticidae. The record is from RNAcentral.